This is an RNA transcript of Juglans microcarpa x Juglans regia, 599 nucleotides long. It is a transcript of the gene named urease accessory protein G-like, with no coding region annotated. The transcript is spliced from 5 exons. The record is from RefSeq and is a predicted model, not a curated record. NCBI's taxonomy places the organism in Eukaryota, Viridiplantae, Streptophyta, Magnoliopsida, Fagales, Juglandaceae.
UUAGCUUCGUUACAUCAUCAUGACCACGAUCAUAGUCAUGGAGAUUCAAAAACAAAGUUAUGGGUGGGCCCUGAUGGGAGGGUGUACCAUAGCCACGAUGGACUGGCACCUCAUUCACAUGAAACUCCCCGGGUUACUUCAGCUUCAGCAGAAGAGCUCCACCACUUCUCACAAGGGAUUUCAAUGAAAGAGCUUUCGCCGUUGGCAUCGGUGGCCCAAUUGGUACUGGGAAAACAGCUUUAAUGCUUGCUCUCUGCCAAUUUUUGCGGGACAAGUACAGUCUUGCUGCAGUGACAAAUGAUAUAUUCACAAAGGAGGAUGGUGAGUUCUUGGUAAAACAUGGAGCACUUCCUGAGGAAAGGAUACGUGCUGUGGAAACUGGGGGCUGCCCACACGCUGCCAUUCGUGAAGACAUUAGCAUUAAUCUUGGCCCUCUUGAGGAGCUCUCUAAUUUGUACAAAGCAGACAUACUUCUUUGUGAAUCAGGGGGAGAAAAUUUAGCUGCCAACAUCAGUAGAGAACUGGCUGACUACAUCAUCUAUAUAAUAGAUGUAUCUGGUGGUGAUAAAAUACCUCGGAAAGGUAUUUUAAAUUCAUAA